Molecule: unclassified non-coding RNA, 1096 nt
Filed under: Hevea brasiliensis (rubber tree)
Lineage: Eukaryota; Viridiplantae; Streptophyta; Magnoliopsida; Malpighiales; Euphorbiaceae
Source: RNAcentral
UGAGAAGAUAAGUGCCACUGGCUUAAAGGUAAAAGUGCAAAGCACUUGCUUAUGAAGUGAAAGUAGUAGAGUGGCUUGUGAAGGCUUGUUACGUUAUUUUUAACCCAAUCAUAAUAAUUUGUCUUAAUGUUGUUGCCUAGAUUAUAUAAUCGACGUUAAAAUAUGCUCGUGGGAUGAUCUUUUACAUGCAAUUUUCUCUGAAAUGCUAAUAUUUCUUUCGUGUGAGAGGACCUGAUGCUGCCCUUUCUGAGUAUGAAUUUCUCGUAUUCAUUGAUAUCACUGGCAACUUGUAAAAUAUCCUUCUCAUAUGUGUUACUGUCCUUAGUUUGAAAUCAACUACACAGAUGAUUCACAGAUAAAUCUAAUAAGAAAUUGCUGGAUUGCAGUUUGUUAGUUUUGCGACCUUUCCCUUUGUUAUCUAUUGUGAAUGAAAAAUGAAGGCUUGUUAGAGAGAACCUUCCGACUGAGCAUUUAGGAACUCAAACUUGAAUAAGACUAGACUUAAUAAAUUUUAUUUCUGAAUAAAGUGCUUAAAAACACUGAUUCCUAACUGGCGUCUAAACAAGAAUAUACUCAUUUAUCAAUUACAAGUAUAUGCCCUAAACAAGUUUUUUUUCCUCGGCAACUAAUACUACCAUAACUAGGAAAAUCAAAUACUACUUGAAUUUGGAAAACUAGAUGAGGAAAAGACAGAAAUCCGUAUAAACUAAGGAAAGGACAGAAAUCUGAAUAACUAAGGAAAGAAAUCAAUUUUAUGCAAAUCAGUUUUGUGCCUUCUUUUUCCUAUGGGAGAACCUCUUAAUUAUAGAUUUGCUGAAAGUCUCUGGUUUGCGGUUUGUUCAUAGCAAUAUGCUCGUGGUAAGUAGUCCUUAUAUUUAUUUUAUAAUCAUAUAUAUCUUCUAGUUUUAACGGAUUUAUAUUCUUAGAUGUACUAUUUUAUGCUUCAUAUUUAUUUCCACUUCCUAUAGUAGUGUAACACCAAAGUGUGCUUAAGCCUUAUUAGUUAAAAAUUAAUGAGUGUUUUAAACAUCACAUCAGUUUUUCUUGAUCUUCAUUUCUUUUUCCCUCAACUAAGGUUGUUCGCCUUUGUGCUAAA